RNAcentral lists this ribosomal RNA (441 nucleotides) under uncultured bacterium. Its description in RNAcentral is "partial 16S ribosomal RNA". It matches the Rfam family "Bacterial small subunit ribosomal RNA", at positions 338 to 795 of the family's 1533-position model. The record is from RNAcentral.
CCUACGGGAGGCUGCAGUGGGGAAUAUUGCACAAUGGGGGAAACCCUGAUGCAGCGACGCCGCGUGAGCGAGGAAGUCUUUCGGUUUGUAAAGCUCUAUUAGCAGGGACGAAACAAGACGCUAUCUGACUAAGAUGCCCCGGCUCACUAUGUGCCAGCAGCCGCGGUAAUACGUAGGGGGCAAGCGUUAUCCGGAUUUACUGGGUGUAAAGGGGGCGUAGACGGGAAGGCAAGCCAGAGGUGAAAGGGCUGGGCUCAACCCUGUACAUGCUUUUGGAACUGUGGUGCUAGAGUGCAGGAGAGGUAAGUGGAAUUCCUAGUGUAGCGGUGAAAUGCGUAGAUAUUAGGAGGAACACCAGUGGCGAAGGCGGCUUACUGGACUGUAACUGACGUUGAGGCGCGAAAGCGUGGGGAGCAAACAGGAUUAGAUACCCGUGUAGUC